RNAcentral lists this small nuclear RNA (107 nucleotides) under Chinchilla lanigera (long-tailed chinchilla). Lineage: Eukaryota; Metazoa; Chordata; Mammalia; Rodentia; Chinchillidae. The record is from RNAcentral.
GUGCUCACUUCAGCAGCACAUGCACUAAAAUUGAAAUGAUACAGACAAGAUUAGCAUGGCCCUUUCAGAAGGAUGAUAUGCAAAUAUUUGAAGCAUUCCAUUCUUUU